Myotis daubentonii (Daubenton's bat) is the source of this 463-nucleotide long non-coding RNA. RefSeq lists it as uncharacterized. Lineage: Eukaryota; Metazoa; Chordata; Mammalia; Chiroptera; Vespertilionidae. The record is from RefSeq and is a predicted model, not a curated record.
CUUUUUGUCAUGCUGAGACUGAAGUAUCAGCAUGAAAGUGUAGUUAGGUCAAAAACUGAAGUUUUGGUCCACAACCAAGAAAUUUUCCUCUGUGAACAACUUGAUCGAGAACCGAAUUGUUCGAGAUGGAAGGCGUUCAAGAAACAAGUCCUGCUAAAACAACUAGAGGAGGAAGAGAGAACCAGGAACCAUCUAGCAGACAAAGAAUUCCUCUCUAUUCAGGUCCAAUCUCCAGAUAACAGGCCAGACACGGAUGGACCAGUGCCACCGACACGAUCCUGACAGCGCUGCCAGCCUCCUGGAAGUCGGCCUCGGGCACCACAACUGCUUCCCUUCCCUAGAUGCCCCGCAAGGAAUAAACAAUAUAAAAGCGGCCGCCAGGUGGCUCACGACAACCAGUGCAAAGGAUGGAUCCAGAUUUCGGGCUGGCAAGGGUGUCCCACCACCCACCUGGAAGGCUGAU